Molecule: non-coding RNA, 69 nt
Organism: Rattus norvegicus (Norway rat)
Lineage: Eukaryota; Metazoa; Chordata; Mammalia; Rodentia; Muridae
Source: Rfam
GGGGAUUUAGCUCAGCGGUAGAGCGCUUGCCUAGCAAGCGCAAGGCCCUGGGUUCGGUCCCCAGCUCCA